AAAAAAGAAGAAAGCGACAACAGAAGAAAGAGCACAGCAAGACAGAGGGGGAGGGGAACCGAGAAAGGGAAGCUCGCUGGAGAGAGGGGAGUCGGAGAGGACUUGCCGCCUGUACUCUCCACGGCUGCUGCCGCCCGACCAACCGCGACCACCGCUGUCUCACCGGAGCCCAGAUCUGGAGUAAAGGCGCCGCGUCAAGAAGCAAUGCAGUAAAGGGCAAGUGGGAGAGUUCCAGAGAGAAAGGGGCAGGAUUCGAGCAACCCACGAGCCGCCGCCCUCCUUCACGACGUCGUCCGAGCCACCGCCACUCGACCCCUCGACACACCAGCAACCAGCCGAGCCCCCUGCCUGUUGUCCUCCGUCCAAGUCGCCACCAUAAACCCAGAACCAGAUCUGAAGCAGACGAGAAGGAGGGGGGAGAGCUCGAGCAGUGAGAGAAAGUGGGAGCAAGAAGAGGGAAGGAACAGAGCGAGAGAAGACUAGAAAGAGGGAGAAGAGAGAACCGAAGGAGAGGGAGAAGAAAAGAGCCUCCUCCUGCCGCCCUCUGGCCGCCCCUGCUCGCCCAAUACCGCCGCCACCAGCGACGCCUCCUCCAAGCCGUGGAGCCGCUGAUCGCCUCCUCAGCUGAGCCGACGCCCUUGUCGCCGUGCCCCAGCCACCGGUCGCCGCUCCCAGUCCCCUCGCCGGGGUAGUGACCAGCAGCAGCUCGAAGCCGUGACGCCACUGCAGCACCUGCAGCCGCAACGACCACCGCGCCAGCAACCGGAGCCCUCCUCCGCCGGACACCGCCGCUACCCUCUGCCGCUGACGCUGCUCCUUCGAUCCCGUCGCGGCACCAGCACCGUGCCGUUGCUACCCGUGCCGCCACCACCCG
This 874-nucleotide long non-coding RNA is filed under the name Eucalyptus grandis. RNAcentral describes it as "long non-coding RNA (EGRA_LNC000142)". Lineage: Eukaryota; Viridiplantae; Streptophyta; Magnoliopsida; Myrtales; Myrtaceae. The record is from RNAcentral.